RNAcentral lists this unclassified non-coding RNA (314 nucleotides) under uncultured fungus. RNAcentral describes it as "partial contains 5.8S ribosomal RNA, internal transcribed spacer 2, and large subunit ribosomal RNA". The record is from RNAcentral. Lineage: Eukaryota; Fungi.
AACGCACCUUGCGCCCCUUGGCAUUCCGAGGGGCAUGCCCGUUUGAGUGUCUUGAAUUCAUCCUCCCGCCGGUUUCGCGACCGGUCGGGUUGGGACUUGGGGGUUUGCAACCGCGUGAGCGGAGGCUCCCCUCGAAUGUAUCGGUGGGAUUUUGCCGGGCCGCAUCCCUUGGGCGUUGUAUUGUCCUCGUCCGCAGCGGAUUGCCCCGGCGUCGCCCGCCUAGACCUUGCCUUUCGAGAGGCGGUCAACCAGGCGGCUUUUUUGCCGUCUUGAAAUCUGACCUCAAAUCGGGUAGGACUACCCGCUGAACUUAA